GAAUUUUGGACAAUGGGCGAAAGCCUGAUCCAGCAAUGCCGCGUGCAGGACGAAGGCCUUCGGGUUGUAAACUGCUUUUGUACGGAACGAAAAGCUUUGGGUUAAUACCCUGGAGGCAUGGCGGUACCGUAAGAAUAAGCACCGGCUAACUACGGGCCAGCAGCCGCGGUAAUAGGUAGGGUGCAAGCGUUAAUCGGAAUUACUGGGCGGAAAGCGUGCGCAGGCGGUUGUGGAAGACAGAGGUGAAAUCCCCGGGAUCAACCGGGGAACUGCCUUGGUGACUGCAAGGCUAGAGUACGGCAGAGGGGGGUGGAAUGCCGCGGGUAGCAGUGAAAUGCGGAGAUAUGCGGAGGAACACCGAUGGCGAAGGCAACCCCCUGGGAAUGUACUGACGCUCAUGCACGAAAGCGUGGGGAGCAAACAG
Molecule: ribosomal RNA, 424 nt
Filed under: uncultured bacterium
Lineage: Bacteria
Description: partial 16S ribosomal RNA
Rfam family: Bacterial small subunit ribosomal RNA
Source: RNAcentral